This 243-nucleotide long non-coding RNA is filed under the name Solanum tuberosum (potato). Its description in RNAcentral is "long non-coding RNA (STUB_LNC008784)". Lineage: Eukaryota; Viridiplantae; Streptophyta; Magnoliopsida; Solanales; Solanaceae. The record is from RNAcentral.
CGCUCGUAAUACAGGUUUAUAAAAAAGUUUCCAAAAACGUAAUGUGUAAUAUAAAUUAGGCUCGUUAAUGUAAUAUAAUCUUGACAUUUAAAUAUUAAAUAGUCUCUCAUCUAAAAAAGUGUAAGUAGAAUAUAAUAAGGAAAGGAAAGACGUCUUGUGCCUUCUCCAACAAGUAGUCGUAAUCCUUUUCCCAUAAGAAUAAUGACUUUCUCUUCUAUAUAACAAUACGUUUAGUUCUCACAC